This is a long non-coding RNA of Chiroxiphia lanceolata (lance-tailed manakin), 461 nucleotides long. RefSeq lists it as uncharacterized. The transcript has 3 exons. NCBI's taxonomy places the organism in Eukaryota, Metazoa, Chordata, Aves, Passeriformes, Pipridae. The record is from RefSeq and is a predicted model, not a curated record.
UCCAGCAAACUGUCAUCGCAGCAGGAUGCAGUUCUUGAGAGGGUGAUCAUACAUGGCAAGUGAAGCGACGCUGAACUGUCACCAAACAAGUCUGUUUCCUUGUGCCUGAAUCUUCCUUUAAGGCUCACCCAAAAAUGGAGAUUGACAGUUUAUAGCCAGAGAUACAUUUAUACCAUAAUGCACCCAAAAUCCUGCCGUAUCCUCAUGGAAGCUUUCUGGAUGAUUGUCACAUUGUGGGAGAACAACAGAGAACGCUGGACCAGCCCCAGCUCUAGAACACAAACAGGUUUCUGCUUUCUGAACAUGGACCCAGUCAAGGCUACAAGAGUACAGAGUAAGAAUCAGCAGUGACCCAGUCUAGGCCUCCCUUGAUGUACCUUCCCUCCAACAGCCUUCAGAAUAUCACAGAAGCUGAUGGACGUGACAACUGAGAUGACUCAGGUCAGCCGAGGAAGCGUCCC